Molecule: transfer RNA, 77 nt
Filed under: Bacteroidota bacterium
Lineage: Bacteria; Pseudomonadati; Bacteroidota
Also listed under: 2 other names
Description: Bacteroidetes bacterium tRNA-Arg
Rfam family: tRNA
About the family: Transfer RNA (tRNA) molecules are approximately 80 nucleotides in length. Their secondary structure includes four short double-helical elements and three loops (D, anti-codon, and T loops). Further hydrogen bonds mediate the characteristic L-shaped molecular structure. tRNAs have two regions of fundamental functional importance: the anti-codon, which is responsible for specific mRNA codon recognition, and the 3' end, to which the tRNAs corresponding amino acid is attached (by aminoacyl-tRNA synthetases). tRNAs cope with the degeneracy of the genetic code in two manners: having more than one tRNA (with a specific anti-codon) for a particular amino acid; and 'wobble' base-pairing, i.e. permitting non-standard base-pairing at the 3rd anti-codon position.
Source: RNAcentral
GGUCUCAUAGCUCAACUGGAUAGAGCACCUCCCUUCUAAGGAGGCGGUUCGGGGUUCGAGUCCCUGUGGGAUCACAA